UACGGGGGGAGCAAGCGUUGUUCGGAUUUACUGGGCGUAAAGGGCGCGUAGGCGGCCACCGCAAGUCAAUUGUGAAAUCUCCGGGCUUAACCCGGAAAGGUCAACUGAUACUGCGGGGCUAGAGUGCGGAAGGGGCAACUGGAAUUCUUGGUGUAGCGGUGAAAUGCGUAGAUAUCAAGAGGAACACCUGCGGCGAAGGCGGGUUGCUGGGCCGACACUGACGCUGAAGUGCGAAAGCUAGGGGAGCGAACGGG
This 254-nucleotide ribosomal RNA is filed under the name uncultured bacterium. RNAcentral describes it as "partial 16S ribosomal RNA". It matches the Rfam family "Bacterial small subunit ribosomal RNA", at positions 524 to 776 of the family's 1533-position model. The record is from RNAcentral.